GCUAGGGGAGCCGAUUGCUGAGAUUGAGAUUUUCGUUCUUCAAAAACGAAAUUUCUGACCCUUACCACUUGACCCGGAUAAUACCGGCGUAAGGAAGCAGA
This 101-nucleotide non-coding RNA is filed under the name uncultured Eisenbergiella sp. The record is from RNAcentral. Lineage: Bacteria; Bacillati; Bacillota; Clostridia; Lachnospirales; Lachnospiraceae.